GUGUUUCAUUCUAAUUUAACGUUAUACAAGUUCCAUCGCGAUGAGAUAACGUAAUUUCAAUAUUUUUCUAACUUUGUAAGUGGUGCACACGUUUUUCAAACAAAUCCUUGUAAUCCUGCAUGCAGUGAAUAAGGAGGAGGAGGUGGUCGUGGAUAUGGAAUAAGCCUUGGUAGCCGAUGUACGAAACCCAUAGGAGGAGGUAUUCCUAAAGGUGGUCUCAGUGGAUGGAACAAAGGCGGAUGAGGCCGGUAUGGAUACGGAGCCCAUAUUGGUGUAAUCGGCGGAGGAGGUCUAACAAAAUAAGCGACCGGAGCUCCAUUAGGCAGCCCUCGAGAUCAUCUUCUAAUUGUGAUCUUUCCGACUCUUCGUACGACUCUCGAUGCGAUGAAUGCGAAUAUUCGUCGCUUUCCUGUCUGCUGCCUCGACUGUAUCUUCUUCUAUUUGUCGAUCUGGAGGUUUAUGUACGCACUUCGGCCAGAAAAUCGACUGCUGACUUGACCAGAGCGAGAUCUCUCAAGUCUGCGAUCUCUGGACGUAUUUCUACUGCGAUCUCUGAGCCUGUCUCUGAAAAAAGGGCACUACGAAGGCGCUCGAUCUUGGAAUCUUGGAAUAUUUCGGACAUCGUCAACGAUGGAAAGAUAUGUGAUCUCAGAAUAAUUCAAGGAACAGUGAAUUGUAAUAUUAUUAAGUAAGAGAAGGUUUUUAUUCAAACUUUAAAAUUUUUUCAAUAAUUUGAGAAAUCCAACGUAAAAUUACGUAAUUAUAUACUUAGCAAACAAAUUGAAAAUUAAAAAUUACUUAUGGAAAUUAAAAUUGAAUAUGAAAUUCAAUUUUUUAUUAAGUUACAGUAAUUAAUUCGAAUAAUUUGGAUUGAAUUUUUUUUUCAACGUUCUACUUAUUCAAUGGAGAUUAUUAUUUUAUUUAUAUUUUUUUUACGUUAUUUUAUCGUAGGUAGUAUUUAAAAAAGUUACUGUCUUUUUGAGACAUGUGAUGCAAACUUACAUCCCUUAAUAUGUACAUUGUACACAUCUAUGUGAAUUGUGUCGAGCAUCCACUUUGAAAAAAAAAGUAGUACGAUUACGUGACAGAAGGGGAAAGUGUUUUUCUAUAAUUCAGUUCAACUAUUAAAGAUGUUUCCAUGAUGAACUAUUUAACCUCAGCAUUAGUUGAAAGCACAAUGAUAAAAUAUUAAUCGUGUUUAAAUAAUGUUACUUACGUCGAGGAUGAACUGUCACUAUACGAGUCACUUGGAUAUUAGAAUCCAAAACAAGAGGUUCCUUCGGUCCUCCAUAAGUUGGUUUAGUCAAUUUGACAUUUCCUUCGCGUCUGUUAAAAUGUAGAAAAAUUAUUGUAAAAGAAAAUUAACUCUGGUAUCGAACAGAUUACCUAUAUAUUCCCUUACCUUGAUUUACGUCCUUCUUCCUGAGAAUGAGAUCUCUGCCUAGAACGCGAAUUCGUUCUGCGAAAUCGGUCCUCUCUGCGCGGACUUCUAGGUUUUUAAAAAUUAGCAUUUUAGUAAGAUUGAUUUGAUCAAUGCUACUGUAUAAUUGAAAAUUAAUUUGUACAAUGUACAUUACUUACCUUUUCGAUACAGAAGAGCUUGAAACGCGAUUAUUACGAGUGGAAGACGAUGCACUGUGAUGAGUCGGACUUCUGCUUCUCGUUCGGCUUCUGUACACAAACACAUAAUUUGUUUUCAUAUUAGAUGUGUAGAUUUAUUUUGAUAAUGGAUUUUGGAGUUCACUUUAAAAAAAAAGUAAAGACUUUCUAGAUUUUAAAAGUUGCUGAAUGGAAUCUAAAGUGUUGAAACAAAGGUUUCAAAAAACCUCCGAAAUCCAAAUUCUCAAAAAUCUGUGUUGAAAAAACACAUCUAUAGAAAAACUAUAGAUAUGAUAAAAGCAAAACGAAUUCCAUACCUGUUAGGAAAUGUGUAUGAAUCUACACACUCAUAUUCUUCUGUUGAAGAAGAUCUCCUUUCUCGUCCCAUUAUUAAGAAUUACGAGUAAAUAAACACUGAGGUAUUAAAAUAAUAAAAUAUAUGAUUUCUAAAAACGGUGGACAAAGUUCACUGUUGAAUCUAAUAAACAAUAACACUGGACAAUUUGUUCACAAAUGUUACUUUUUAUGGGCAUUUUCCCAUGAAAAAUGUUUCAAAUUAUUGUUCAAGGAUCGAUAAUUUUGAUAAUACAUAAUUAAAAUUGAAUUUAUACCUAAUAUAUAGGUAGGCACAAAAUAAAAUAAUUGAUAUCACUGCAAAAGUGAACCAUUUACAGAGAUGGAUUCUCUGAAGUAUGCGACCAGUGACGUCACUGGUCGGUCAAAAUGACGCUCAAAGCUUCAGUGCAAUUUGAAAUGUAACUUGUAAUUGUAUUUUUCGUUUUAGUUUAGUGUUUAAAGUUCGAUGUGUAUUGUAAUAUGAUGAAUUGUACUGAAUAUACAUUUUUCUGCCA
Molecule: long non-coding RNA, 2450 nt
Organism: Planococcus citri (citrus mealybug)
Lineage: Eukaryota; Metazoa; Arthropoda; Insecta; Hemiptera; Pseudococcidae
Exons: 5
Source: RefSeq, a predicted model, not a curated record